UGUGUGUGUGUGUGUGUGUGUGUGUGUGUGUGUUUGCUGGCGCACGCAUGCACACACACACACACACACACACACACACACACA
Molecule: microRNA precursor, 84 nt
Filed under: Podarcis lilfordi (Lilford's wall lizard)
Lineage: Eukaryota; Metazoa; Chordata; Lepidosauria; Squamata; Lacertidae
Source: RNAcentral